Molecule: transfer RNA, 65 nt
Filed under: Calophya schini
Lineage: Eukaryota; Metazoa; Arthropoda; Insecta; Hemiptera; Calophyidae
Description: tRNA-Leu
Source: RNAcentral
UCUAUUUUGGCAGAUGUAAUGUGUUAAAUUUAGGAUUUAUUUAUGUAUAAAAUUUACAAGUAGAA